This 478-nucleotide ribosomal RNA is filed under the name uncultured bacterium. RNAcentral describes it as "partial 16S ribosomal RNA". It matches the Rfam family "Bacterial small subunit ribosomal RNA", at positions 28 to 507 of the family's 1533-position model. The record is from RNAcentral.
GAUGAACGCUGGCGGCGUGCUUAACACAUGCAAGUCGAACGAGAAGUGAAGACGGAUACCUUCGGGCGGAAGGCUUUAUUUCGAGUGGCGGACGGGUGAGUAACGCGUGGGUAACCUGCCUCAUACAGGGGGAUAACAGUUGGAAACGACUGUUAAUACCGCAUAAGACCACAGCACCGCAUGGUGCGGGGGUAAAAACUCCGGUGGUAUGAGAUGGACCCGCGUUCGAUUAGCCAGUUGGCGGGGUAACGGCCCACCAAAGCGACGAUCGAUAGCCGAUCUGAGAGGAUGACCGGCCACAUUGGGACUGAGACACGGCCCAAACUCCUACGGGAGGCAGCAGUGGGGAAUAUUGCACAAUGGGGGAAACCCUGAUGCAGCGACGCCGCGUGAGUGAAGAAGUAUUUCGGUAUGUAAAGCUCUAUCAGCAGGGAAGAAAAUGACGGUACCUGAGUAAGAAGCCCCGGCUAACUACGUG